GCAAGCUCUGGGAGAUGGUGAAGGAUGGGGAAGCCUGGCGUGCUGCAGUCCGUGGGAUCACAAAGAGUCGGACCUGACUUAGCAACUGAACAACCACAAAGCUAAACAAUAAUUUAAAACUUCCUAAUCUGAUUAACCUUCAGGUGCUUUUAAUAUUUACUAUAAAUGGAGCUAGAAACUGCUGGCACGGCUGGCGUCCCACCAGGAAUUUUCGUGGAGAUGGGCUUUCAGGAGCUUGUCACCAGAAGAGACCAUCCAGAGUCAAACAAAUCCAGAAAGAGGUUCUGAGUUUUGAAGUUCUCGCCACCCGAGUGUCCAGCAGAUUCACACACACAAAGGCUGUUUUCAGAAAAGGAAGUGAAAGAUAGAUAGGGAAAAAAGUCCCUGAAGUCAGCAUUCCAACUGGCAACACGUGAAACUUUGUAAAUAAAUAGGUCUGCGUUCCUGAGCUCCGGCCCUCCGUGGGCCUUGUUUUCUGCCCCUGAAGUUUUGUCCUGCUCCCUUUAAACAACUUCUGGAAGGGGCAGUUGUUCUGGCCUUGAGAUCAGUCCCCUUGUUCCUUCACGUCAGUGUUUCUUCAUUUGUUCUAAGCAUCUCUGCCAGACGCUCCGAAGAGCUGGCCAUGGAGGCCCAGGACGCUUGGCAGGGCCCUGGGCUGCCCCGGAACACCUGGGAGGUUCUGGAUUUGCUCCUGUUGAGCCUUCCCGAUGUCAGGUCCUUGGCGAUGCUCUAGCGAGGUCCUCCUCCCCGUCUGCUGGGCCUCGGAGCACUGGUGCUAGAAGGCUGACUUUCAAGAGGCGUCUGCGGGUGCAGUCUGCUCUGCCUGCCCUCUCACUGUCUCCCCCGCCCGCGAUGGACUCUCCGCCUCGAAACCGUCUCAGCAGGAGCAGCAACAUGUCCUAACUGUCCUCCUGGCCUGCCCUGGGGCCCUUACGUGAUGCUGCCAAGAGCGUGCCAGGUGCUCUCCAGCUGACUGUGUCCUUCCCACCUUCAGAUCCCCGCCGCUGCACACGACCUUCAGGUCAGGCCCAGAGCUCUGUGCAAGGCGAUGGGGUGGUCGGCCGGGCCGGCCUCCAGUUACGUGUCCACCUCACACAGAGUUACCAUCCCUUCCUCUGUGCCUGCACGUCAGGAGUCCCCUGGCCGGCCGGCCGCCCCUCCGGCUCCUUCAGGCCUGGUCCCUCUUGCCCGGACUGGAGCACCUCCUCCCGCUGUCAUCCUCCGGCGGCAACCUGGAGCAGAACUCGCCCACUGAGCCACAGGACCAGGACGCAGGGCCACGCUCCAGGACACUCGCAUCCCUCAGCCCAGCCCCUCCCAGGCACCAAGUCGGGACUUGAUAACUGGUUGAACCAUAUUGUGGACAGAGGUGGAAGUGAAGAGGGGACCAACUGGGGACCGUCUGCCUGGACUGAGCCGUCAGUCCCAGAAGCGCCCUUGCCAGGGUCCAGCCUUUAGUCCUGAGUCAGGACAGCUGUUGAUGAGAUGAGGAUGAGAUGGUUGGAUGGCAUCACCGACUCAAUGGACAUGAGUUUGAGCAAACUUGGGGAGAUAGUGGAGGACAGGGAAGCCUGGCGUGCUGCAGUCCACGGGGUUGCAAAGAGUCGGAUAGACUGAGUGACCGAACACCAUCAACCGCUAGAGGAUGUCCCCUGAGCAGACAAGGAGAAAUGACCUGGCAUUAUCCAGGUCAUUUACCCAAAUGGCUUCUUAGCAAAAAACGUUAGUAUCCCACCCAGAAAUUAAAUGUGACAACUGAACUUCACUCCUGUACUAAUGUUCUCUUGAUAACCACUUGCCCCAAUAACUUGAGCACAGAACAAGAUACAGUAAUUUACUGAAACUGUGAAGUUUGUCUUGAUAAUACCGAGGAAUUUCUCCAACACUUAGAAAACGUCAGGGAAAAAUUAAGUGGAAUAAACACACCAUGUGCUGGCCAGCUCAUCAGACGACGAAGACUCAGAGAAGACGCCACCAGCUUCACAGACGAUGAGGCCAGAGGGCCGCCUCCAAGCUAAUAAUACUGCUGCUUCCCCUUCCCUGAAAUAAGAAUGUGUUUUUUGCAGAAUUGAAAUUUUUUUUCAAGAAGAUCAAAACUUUUCACACGAAUCCAUCCAUUCACAAAUCAGACAAUGAUCAAGACCUGGUGGCUUGAUUUGGGGGCCAGAACAUUCAGUCACUGGAAGGGAGUGAGUGAGGGGCCUCCGCCCUGCCCCCGCCUCUAUUCCAAGGUCAGGGGCGACUGGGACCCCUGGGCCAGGUGUUCGGCAGGUGUGAGACGGCCGCCCGCUGGGUGGGGUGGCGGGCGGAGGGGUGUGACGCCUUCCUGGUGGAGUUUGGCCCCCCCAGGAGCCCCCGGCUGCAGGACGGUUUCUAGAGGCCAAGACCACAAGGCCGGCCUGGGCGAGCUCUGCCAGGGGCCGGGCGGCGGGGAGGCCCUUUACUCACGUGGGCCCUGGCCCUUUUCCUGGGGGCCUCCUCAGGCCCGCAGCUGCUUCACCCAAACUUGACUUUUCUGAGACUGCCCUGCACCCCCAGCCCACCCCGGGGCCUGACCUUUUGCCCCCACCAGGGGCGCCCCCGCCCCACCCCUCAGCUAGCCCUAGGGUGUCUAGACUCUGGAUUUCCCUGAGAAAAGGUGUCAACAUUCAACUCUACCAGACAAUGGCGGGGCCUGCCUACCCUUGGCAGGGAGCUCCCCACCAGAAGGGCCUGGGAGCUGGGACUGGAAGGAGGUGAGCAUCGCCAGGUGCAGCACGGGGGAGGAAGGGAAGCGGCGGGAGGAAGGGAGGCUUCGAGACCCAGUGCUGCGUUCCCGGACUUCGUGCAGCUGUCAGGCAGGAGAAACCGGGGCGCAAGGCGGGGCUCCGGUCGCCUCUGAGGCCGGGAGCCUGGGGGAGGACGAGCCUGCACCCUGCAGUCUCCCCAGGAGCGGGUGGGCCCUGGGGCUCCCCAGGUGGCACUGGCGAUAAAGAAGCUGCCCACGCAGGACCCCAAAGAUCCCGGGCUCAAUCCCAGGCUCGGGGAGAUCCCCUGGAGGAGGGCAUGUGCCUGGAGAAUCCCGUGGACAGAGGAGCCCGGCGGGCCACAGUCCUUGGGGUCGCAAAGAGUCAGACACAACUUAGCAACUGAAUAACAACAACCCCAAAGCCUGGUCAGGAGGCGCAUGUGCCUGUGGGGACCCGGCCAGGGCCCCCCCCCCCCCGCCGGUUCCCGCUGGGCCCUCAUUGGCCAUUUCAGCUCCGCAGACCGACUGUCUGUUCUCCAUGCGCUGUGCCCCGGGGCAGGGAACAGGGGCAAUUCUGGGCCCCCAUAAAAUUUCACCACCCAGUUUAGAAGUUGAUUCACCUAUAAAUAUACUGUUUGAGGUGGGCCUCACCCAGGGGCGCCCAAGGCAGGAGAAACUGGGCACGAGGGGACGCAGAGAGGCAGUGAGCCACGGCCACCCCGGCACGCUGCUACCGCCCUCCUUCAGCUCGUGGCCUGUGCCGGCUGCGACCGGCAUGUGAAGGCGCUAGGUCUGUCCAGGGCUGCUCAUCAGGACGGCCUGACGCCCAUGGAGCCCCCGGAGCUGCAAACCGAGCCUCUCACUGCUCUCAAAUCCAACGCAGUGGAGUGAAGGGAGGACCAGAGGAGUCGGCAUGAGAAGCAACCACACACCGGACUCAGAAUCAGGAAGGAAACCACGUCUGACAUCCUGAGCCUCCGCCACCCGGCUGUGACCUGAAUAAGCUGUAGCCAUCGCCAUCUAUCUACCCAUCUAUUAAUAUUAUCUAUCUGUCAUCUAUCUGCCUAUCUAUCCACCCAUAUAUCUGUGUGCUUAGUCGCUCAGUCGUGUCUGACUCUGCAACCCCAUGAACUGUAGCCCAGCAGGCUCCUCUGUCCAUGGGAUUCUCCAGGCAAGAAUACUGGAGUGGGUUGCCAUGCCCUUCUCCCAGGGAUCUUCCCAAUCCAAGGAUCAAACCCAGAUCUCCCGCAUUCCAGGCAGAUUCUUUAUUGUCUGAGCCACCAGGGAAGCCCCAUCCAUCUCUCUACUACCUAUUAAUCAUCUGUCUUCAAUCUGUCUACUAUUUGUCCAUCCAUCAUCUAUCUAUCUAUCUAUCUACUAUCUAUCUAUCUAUCUACUAUCUAUCUACUAUCUAUCAAUCACCUAUCUAUCCAUCCAUCCAUCUAUCAUGGAUCCAUCUAUCUAUCUAUUCAUCUUUUCGAGGCCUUCAUUUUCCCAUCCACAAGUGGAGCUGAGGAUAAAUAACACUUUGUAAGCGACAAA
Cervus elaphus (red deer) is the source of this 4270-nucleotide long non-coding RNA. RefSeq lists it as uncharacterized. The record is from RefSeq and is a predicted model, not a curated record. NCBI's taxonomy places the organism in Eukaryota, Metazoa, Chordata, Mammalia, Artiodactyla, Cervidae. The transcript has 2 exons.